GCCGAAGAUUUUUACAUGACAACUGGUAGAGAUUUGAUUCUGCAGUAUCUGGCCCCAGAAUAGUUCACUUGUGUAUAAUUUUCAGCCAAAGAAACCUAGUAUAAAAUCUAAAUGAUUGCUAUGGACAGAAGUGACGUGGUUGACUUUCCUUUAAAGAGGCCAUUAUUGGGAAAGAAUAUGUUCUUUCAAUUCAACCAGUUAAAACAAGACUUAACGAAGGAAGUCUCGCUAUACUUUAAGCAUAACAAAAUGUUGGUGCUCUUCUAACCACAGUUUAUAUUCUGCAGAUUAUGCACUAUGGGUAGCAUGAAAUGAAAUACAUUGUGUAUAUGUCGUCGAAUAUUCCAUAUGCAGCGAUAAAGAAAACUAUACACGCCUUUCUUAUUCUUUAUUGAAGAUUAUUGACUUUUCGGUGUGGCUGAUAGAUUAUUGACUUCAUCGGGCAAAAGAUUAUUGACCACUUGUUCCGUUUGUUUCAAAUAAUAUUCAUGAAAAAAAAGUAUUCUUCCGUUCCUUUGUCUUUUUUGUAGAAUUUUUUUGUUUCUAUUUAAUUGUCAUUUUC
This 562-nucleotide long non-coding RNA is filed under the name Medicago truncatula (barrel medic). Its description in RNAcentral is "lncRNA gene49998". The record is from RNAcentral. Lineage: Eukaryota; Viridiplantae; Streptophyta; Magnoliopsida; Fabales; Fabaceae.